UACGGAGGGGGCUAGCGUUGUUCGGAAUUACUGGGCGUAAAGCGCACGUAGGCGGCCUUUCAAGUCAGGCGUGAAAGCCCCGGGCUUAACCUGGGAACUGCGCUUGAUACUGUGAGGCUUGAGUCCGGGAGAGGAUAGUGGAAUUCCCAGUGUAGAGGUGAAAUUCGUAGAUAUUGGGAAGAACACCAGUGGCGAAGGCGGCUAUCUGGACCGGUACUGACGCUGAGGUGAGAAAGCGUGGGGAGCAAACAGG
RNAcentral lists this ribosomal RNA (253 nucleotides) under uncultured bacterium. Its description in RNAcentral is "partial 16S ribosomal RNA". It matches the Rfam family "Bacterial small subunit ribosomal RNA", at positions 524 to 776 of the family's 1533-position model. The record is from RNAcentral.